UACGAAGGGGGCUAGCGUUGUUCGGAAUCACUGGGCGUAAAGGGCGCGUAGGCGGCUUUAUAAGUCGGGGGUGAAAGCCUGUGGCUCAACCACAGAAUUGCCUUCGAUACUGUAGAGCUUGAGACCGGAAGAGGUAAGUGGAACUGCGAGUGUAGAGGUGAAAUUCGUAGAUAUUCGCAAGAACACCAGUGGCGAAGGCGGCUCUCUGGGACGGUACUGACGCUGAGACGCGAAAGCGUGGGGAGCGAACAGG
Molecule: ribosomal RNA, 253 nt
Filed under: uncultured bacterium
Lineage: Bacteria
Description: partial 16S ribosomal RNA
Rfam family: Bacterial small subunit ribosomal RNA
Source: RNAcentral